Molecule: ribosomal RNA, 253 nt
Filed under: uncultured bacterium
Lineage: Bacteria
Description: partial 16S ribosomal RNA
Rfam family: Bacterial small subunit ribosomal RNA
Source: RNAcentral
UACGUAGGUGGCAAGCGUUGUCCGGAUUUACUGGGCGUAAAGAGCGCGCAGGCGGUCGUUCAAGUCGCGUGUGAAAGCCCCCGGCUCAACUGGGGAGGGUCACGCGAUACUGAUCGACUCGAAGGCAGGAGAGGGUAGUGGAAUUCCCGGUGUAGUGGUGAAAUGCGCAGAUAUCAGGAGGAACACCGGUGGCGAAGGCGGGUCUCUGGGCCGAUACUGACGCUGAGGAGCGAAAGCGUGGGGAGCGAACAGG